This 292-nucleotide ribosomal RNA is filed under the name uncultured bacterium. RNAcentral describes it as "partial 16S ribosomal RNA". It matches the Rfam family "Bacterial small subunit ribosomal RNA", at positions 505 to 796 of the family's 1533-position model. The record is from RNAcentral.
GUGCCAGCCGCCGCGGUAAAACGUAGGUGGCAAGCGUUAUCCGGAUUCACUGGGCGUAAAGCGCGUGCAGGUGGUUUCGUAAGUUGGACGUUAAAUCUCCCGGCCUAACCGGGAGGAGUCGUUCAAUACUGCGGGACUUGAGGGCAGAAGAGGGGGGUGGAAUUGCUGGUGUAGUGGUGGAAUGCGUAGAUAUCAGCAGGAACACCUGUGGCGAAAGCGGCCCCCUGGUCUGCUCCUGACACUCAGACGCGAAAGCUAGGGGAGUGAACGGGAUUAGAUACCCCCGUAGUCC